UGAUUCAAGCGUUCUCUCAACCUGGC
RNAcentral lists this non-coding RNA (26 nucleotides) under Mus musculus (house mouse). The record is from RNAcentral. Lineage: Eukaryota; Metazoa; Chordata; Mammalia; Rodentia; Muridae.